This 206-nucleotide ribosomal RNA is filed under the name Clostridioides difficile. Its description in RNAcentral is "partial 16S ribosomal RNA". It matches the Rfam family "Bacterial small subunit ribosomal RNA", at positions 1 to 220 of the family's 1533-position model. The record is from RNAcentral. Lineage: Bacteria; Bacillati; Bacillota; Clostridia; Peptostreptococcales; Peptostreptococcaceae.
UUGAGAGUUUGAUCCUGGCUCAGGAUGAACGCUGGCGGCGUGCCUAACACAUGCAAGUUGAGCGAUUUACUUCGGUAAAGAGCGGCGGACGGGUGAGUAACGCGGGGGUAACCUACCCUGUACACACGGAUAACAUACCGAAAGGUAUGCUAAUACGGGAUAAUAUAUUUGAGAGGCAUCUCUUGAAUAUCAAAGGUGAGCCAGUA